CAGCAGCCGCGGGAAUACGUAGGGUGCAAGCGUUAAACGGAAUUACUGGGCGUAAAGCGUGCGCAGGCGGUCCGCUAAGACAGAUGUGAAAUCCCCGGGCUUAACCUGGGAACUGCAUUUGUGACUGGCGGGCUAGAGUAUGGCAGAGGGGGGUAGAAUUCCACGUGUAGCAGUGAAAUGCGUAGAGAUGUGGAGGAAUACCGAUGGCGAAGGCAGCCCCCUGGGCCAAUACUGACGCUCAUGCACGAAAGCGUGGGGAGCAAACAGGAUUAGAUACCCCGGUAGUCCCUGUCUCUUAUAC
RNAcentral lists this ribosomal RNA (301 nucleotides) under uncultured bacterium. RNAcentral's name for it is "partial 16S ribosomal RNA". It matches the Rfam family "Bacterial small subunit ribosomal RNA", at positions 509 to 807 of the family's 1533-position model. The record is from RNAcentral.